Molecule: ribosomal RNA, 1422 nt
Filed under: Staphylococcus edaphicus
Lineage: Bacteria; Bacillati; Bacillota; Bacilli; Caryophanales; Staphylococcaceae
Description: bacterial SSU rRNA
Rfam family: Bacterial small subunit ribosomal RNA
Source: RNAcentral
UACAUGCAAGUCGAGCGAACAGAUAAGGAGCUUGCUCCUUUGACGUUAGCGGCGGACGGGUGAGUAACACGUGGGUAACCUACCUAUAAGACUGGGAUAACUUCGGGAAACCGGAGCUAAUACCGGAUAACAUUUGGAACCGCAUGGUUCUAAAGUGAAAGAUGGUUUUGCUAUCACUUAUAGAUGGACCCGCGCCGUAUUAGCUAGUUGGUAAGGUAACGGCUUACCAAGGCAACGAUACGUAGCCGACCUGAGAGGGUGAUCGGCCACACUGGAACUGAGACACGGUCCAGACUCCUACGGGAGGCAGCAGUAGGGAAUCUUCCGCAAUGGGCGAAAGCCUGACGGAGCAACGCCGCGUGAGUGAUGAAGGGUUUCGGCUCGUAAAACUCUGUUAUUAGGGAAGAACAAACGUGUAAGUAACUGUGCACGUCUUGACGGUACCUAAUCAGAAAGCCACGGCUAACUACGUGCCAGCAGCCGCGGUAAUACGUAGGUGGCAAGCGUUAUCCGGAAUUAUUGGGCGUAAAGCGCGCGUAGGCGGUUUCUUAAGUCUGAUGUGAAAGCCCACGGCUCAACCGUGGAGGGUCAUUGGAAACUGGGAAACUUGAGUGCAGAAGAGGAAAGUGGAAUUCCAUGUGUAGCGGUGAAAUGCGCAGAGAUAUGGAGGAACACCAGUGGCGAAGGCGACUUUCUGGUCUGUAACUGACGCUGAUGUGCGAAAGCGUGGGGAUCAAACAGGAUUAGAUACCCUGGUAGUCCACGCCGUAAACGAUGAGUGCUAAGUGUUAGGGGGUUUCCGCCCCUUAGUGCUGCAGCUAACGCAUUAAGCACUCCGCCUGGGGAGUACGACCGCAAGGUUGAAACUCAAAGGAAUUGACGGGGACCCGCACAAGCGGUGGAGCAUGUGGUUUAAUUCGAAGCAACGCGAAGAACCUUACCAAAUCUUGACAUCCUUUGAAAACUCUAGAGAUAGAGCCUUCCCCUUCGGGGGACAAAGUGACAGGUGGUGCAUGGUUGUCGUCAGCUCGUGUCGUGAGAUGUUGGGUUAAGUCCCGCAACGAGCGCAACCCUUAAGCUUAGUUGCCAUCAUUAAGUUGGGCACUCUAGGUUGACUGCCGGUGACAAACCGGAGGAAGGUGGGGAUGACGUCAAAUCAUCAUGCCCCUUAUGAUUUGGGCUACACACGUGCUACAAUGGACAAUACAAAGGGCAGCUAAACCGCGAGGUCAUGCAAAUCCCAUAAAGUUGUUCUCAGUUCGGAUUGUAGUCUGCAACUCGACUACAUGAAGCUGGAAUCGCUAGUAAUCGUAGAUCAGCAUGCUACGGUGAAUACGUUCCCGGGUCUUGUACACACCGCCCGUCACACCACGAGAGUUUGUAACACCCGAAGCCGGUGGAGUAACCAUUUAUGGAGCUAGC